RNAcentral lists this long non-coding RNA (353 nucleotides) under Capsella rubella. RNAcentral's name for it is "long non-coding RNA (CRUB_LNC005201)". Lineage: Eukaryota; Viridiplantae; Streptophyta; Magnoliopsida; Brassicales; Brassicaceae. The record is from RNAcentral.
AAAACCAUGUGUCACUAAUUCUAGAAAAUGAUAUAUAUAAAAAGACAGGCUAUUCAAAGCAUCCACGCUUGCCUUCAUGAUAAACAAUUAAAUUCUAACUAAGAAGAUGAUACCAAAAAGUAUCAUUGUGUCGAAAUAAUUAGUCUUUUUUUUUUUUUUUUUUUUGUCAACCAAAUAAUUAGUCUUCGAAAGAGCUAUAAUGAGAAUGUCAUUUUUGUACUCAACUCACAACCUCUUUUCUAUAUAUAUUCUUCAUCGAUUUUUGGUACUUUAUGUUUUCUUCUUUUCUAAAAUGAAUAUAUUUAUCUUUCGCUAUUUGUUUCCCUUUACAAAGGCGUCAUUUGGAGUAUGAU